UACAGAGGGGGCAAGCGUUGUUCGGAAUUACUGGGCGUAAAGGGCGCGUAGGCGGCCCGCUAAGUCGAACGUGAAAUCCCCGAGCUCAACUCGGGAACUGCGUCCGAUACUGGCGGGCUUGAAUCCGGGAGAGGGAUGCGGAAUUCCAGGUGUAGCGGUGAAAUGCGUAGAUAUCAGGAGGAACACCUGUGGUGUAGACAGCUUACUGGACCAUAACUGACGCUGAGGCACGAAAGCGUGGGUAGCAAACAGG
This 253-nucleotide ribosomal RNA is filed under the name uncultured bacterium. RNAcentral describes it as "partial 16S ribosomal RNA". It matches the Rfam family "Bacterial small subunit ribosomal RNA", at positions 524 to 776 of the family's 1533-position model. The record is from RNAcentral.